Meleagris gallopavo (turkey) is the source of this 2934-nucleotide non-coding RNA. Lineage: Eukaryota; Metazoa; Chordata; Aves; Galliformes; Phasianidae. The record is from RefSeq and is a predicted model, not a curated record.
CCGCGCCGCCCCUCAGCGCCUCUUAUUUUUUUCCUGUGAAAAAUAAACAUUUUGGAUCGUUGUCCGGCGAUGUUUUCUUCGCCUCAGCCACCGCACAGCGCCCGGAGAGUGUCGGGGUGGGGGAAUCUGCGUUGCUGAGGGGUUUUGGGUUGUGUGGGAAGGAGAUGAAAAUCAGGCGAAGCCGUAGGUGGGACUUCAGAGUUUAUUGUGUGACGUUUGGGGUUCAGAGCUGUGGGGGGGUCGUGGGUUUGUGACAGGGGACAUCUGAGGGCUUCCAGUGGACAUCAAGCUACCGUCUGUGCCUGGUAGAAACCUCUUCCAUGGGUGCAGUAAUUCUGGAGAGCUGCUGCUGUUCGAUGGAGGAUUCUUGCAGCAUCAUCCAGAGCCCGACCUUUACCCUCAGUUCUCCAGCGUGGUGUGAAGAUCUAGGAGCAGCCUGGACUGGGGCCGAAACCUCUGUUUUGAUACUCCCAAGAUGUCUGUCUUCAAAAGGUGCCAACAUUUCUCGAUAAGUUAUCUCAGGAGCCAAAACAACAGGUGACAGAAGGACUGUUGCUUUCAAGGACACCACUUCAGGUCACACCAUUCAGAUGAGCUGAGCACCAUGGAAAGCUUGAUAGUUGUUGGAUUUAGGCAGAGCCUCAUGCUAAUAAAGCUGCAGUAUGCCCAAAAAGAAGAUGUCUGCUUGAGCAUUGCUUAUCCUGAAGAACAGAAGCACAGGGAGAGAUUACACAGAAUUAAGAUCACGAAAGGAGGCAAUACUAUCAACAAUAUUAAAAGAAAUAGUAAUUUCAUAAUUUCAUAAAUAAUUUCAUUUUCUUCCAUUCCUGCAAGUCACGUCAGAAGCUUUAAACCAACUAUGCCUCUCUUUAUCAAGCCCUCUUAUGAAGCAAGGAUGGGAAACUACCAGAAUCCUCAAAAGCAAAUGACAUAGGAAAGGAAUUCUCUCCAUAGGUAAGCAUUACAAUUUCAAGAAGACCAGCCAACCUACGUAACAUUCUGAACUGCCACUGGAAGAAACCCAUAGAAGCUCUCACAUUUUGUGUAAGCAGGGAGGGAGCCAGAUCGUUCCUGGAAUGCAGUGAGCAAUCCAAGCUUUUGUAACCAUACAAUGUGCAAGUGCUUCAUUAUAUAGCAUCGGUCACUUGGUCAAGGAGCAGAUUUAUUUUGCAAACAUUAUAGUCCAACAAAUGAGCAGUUUGCCACGAAUGUGAAAAUGAAAUGUCAUCUCAGUAUGCGUGGAGGACUCUUCACCAGCUGGUUAUCCUUGUACUUUGCAGAACAGGAACCUUACUGAAUGACACAAAAGGAUCCCCAAGAGAUGUACGACCUAUUGGAAUCACCUUGAGAGAAAAAAGGGUUUUUCUGAAGUUAAAUGUUUGAUUUUUUUUCUUCAACUUGCAGUAAGUAGUAUUUAACAUUUUGGCUUUCUUCACAUAAUCCAGUUACGCUGGUUGUCCUGCUAGCAUUAAAGAGAGGCUUCCUUUUAGCUUACAAGACUGCUUAUCCUAUUGCUUUUUGUUUCAGCUAUUAUAAAUAUUCUAACAUUCAAUAGUAAUUACAGAUGAACUUUUAAAGCACUUGGUCCAAGCAUUUUCACCAAAGAGAAACUGCUCCAUUCAUGACAUACAGUCAUGGCCAUCCCAAGGAAGACACUAGGCUACACUAAGCUUUUUCCUCAUUUUUCUUAAAUAGUUCUCUUUGUUAGUGCCAAUUACAAGAAGAAGAUGGCUUGGACUCCCAAAUUCACUGAAUACCUCCAGAAAACCACCAAUAACUGGGUAACACACUAGGAUGCAACAAAAACACCCCAGCAUCUGGAAUGGAAAGCUUCAAUACCUGCCUGGCACCCAAACAGCACAUCUGAGAGAGCAACCACUGCUGUGAGUGCUCGUUUUUUGGUCCUUCCCAUCUUCUGUACAACAGUUACUAACAAAAGGGAGAAAAAACUCACACCUUUUUUAACAUAAGCAGGAAGUGAGAGGCUGAGGAAAAAAAUACACUGAAGUUGGAUGACAUUUUUUUAUUCCCGUGAAACAUCUGAAAUGGCUGUAGGGAACCAAAUCAGUGGAAAUGGGCAAAUGAGACAGGAAUUAAUUAACCCACCAAAACCUCAAUUUUAUUUACUUCUGUGGGCACUAUUUAGUGCCAACAUCUAAUGUGCAUUUUGGAUAAAAGUUUUUCUUUAAAUAUCUGCCAUGGUAACUACUUCAUUCUGGAGAUAACAUUUAUGACCACAAAAAUCCUCAGCUGUCCUCCUCUGAAUUUGGGAAAUAACAUCUAGGGCAUUUCCUAAGGUGAAAAAUGAGACAAAAGAGUUUGUGCUGCUUCUCAGGCCUUUCUUAAGUAUCACAGAGAUCUGCAGUGCUUUUCUUAAUGUGAAAAUAACACAUAUGCAACACACAAGUGUUGGCUGAAGGAUAUUCUAAUACCAAGUGUGGUGAAUAAUGGCUGUUUACACAGGAGUUAAACAAAAAGACAUCACUCUCACAACAAGUCUUUUGACUCUCCCCUUUUCUCCACCCACAAAUACGUCAGCAUCCGGUGUAUUUUUAACAGCUUGGUUUUGGUACAUAACUUCCUACACAAAAGGGACACUCCGUGUACUCCAGCAGCACAUUGUGCAUGGCUGUUAAGUAGCAGCAAGACAAGGGAUACCCUAUACUGGGAAAUGUAAGAGAUGAUGGGCAAAACGCUGUGAAGUUCCUCUGCAAAGGGACGUAAAGGAAAGGGUCUUGAAAUGUGGAAAAAGGGUCUGACCACUUGGGAAGAAUAUAGGAAUGUAGUCAGGGCCUGCAGGGAUGCAACGAGGAAGGCUAAAACCCGCCUGGAAUUUAAUCUGGCUGAAGUGAUAAAGGGUAAUAAAAAAGGCUUCUUCAAGUAUGUUAACAGCAAAAGGAAAACUAGAGAGAAUGUGGGCCCCUUACUAAGUGA